CUGACCUCUGUGGUUUCCUAUUGUGGGGCCUCAGCAGUCUCAAAAGGCUGCAGAGCGUGUAGGUGGAAGGAAAAGGUGCUGCACUUGCUGCCCCCCAGGCAGUCAUUGAGGCCCAGCGUUGUUGCCUCAUUUCAGAAAAGUUGCCUCAUUAAUAAUCAGGAUUAAGAUUUGCCGUUAUGCCUUUGUAGUUCCUUCUCUGUCCCCUCCAAUGCUCAUAUUCUCUAUGAAACCUGUUAUAUGUAGCAGGGUUGCAAUUUUGUUACAUAUUAUUUCUUGGGUGGGCAAAGAAAUUUACUUUUGUCUAUUACUCCUCUAGUUUCUUAUUCAGUAUUUGGACAGAAAGAAUUUAAAUGUCCAAUUGGUUUUAAAGUUUAGCUCAAUCUAAACUGGUGUUUAAUUUCUUAGGUUCAAAUGCUUAGGUUCUUAGAUAACGUCUCUGAUCCUCCUUGAGAUGGUGCUCUGGGUAUAUAUAUGGGUGCUGGAGAAGUGGCAGCCAUAUGCCGUCUCUGGGGCCGCUCUCUUAGUCAGUUGGUGUUUCUUGCCUUGAUGGUGCUCUUGGUUAGAUACAACCUGUGGUUCAUUGGUGGCUCUCAGGCUGCACCAAGCUACUGCUGUGACUCCCUUCAGCCCUGGUUGGAGUAUUUUCUACACAGCCUUCCCUCAAACAUUUUGGUCUCGGGACUCCACUAUACUCUUAAAUAUUAGUGAUCUCUAAGAGCUUUCCUUUUGUGGGUUCUAUCUAUCAUCAAUAUUAGAGAUAUAGUACAAAUUAGAAAUUGAACUGAGAAUCUUAGAAAUUAUUCUUUUAAAAACAAUAAAUAAACUCAUAUGAUAACAUAAAUUGUGCAUUUCUCACAAAAAAAAUGACUUCUAAAAAAUUUAACAAGAAAGUGGCAUUGUUUUACACAAGUGCAGAUGUCUUAAAUUCCUGGUCUCAUAGAGCACAGGGUUUUCUUUUUGCUUCUCUAGUCAUUUGUUGCAAUAUGUUGCUUUAGUUGAAAUAUAUAAGGAAAAUUCCUUCUCAUAUGAUAUAGUUGGAAAAAGGAACAUUUAAAUAGUAUUUUCAGAUAAUUGUGCAUGUUCUUCAUUUGAUUGCACAGAAACUUGAAAAGUGGUAGUUUAUUAAAGCUAGUUGCAAUGUGGAAUCUGAAGCUCUAGCAAUGAGAUUUUCAUACUGUGUUUCAUUAAAACCUAUUUCUCUGUCUUUGUGUUUUAAGCCAUGAGGUCUGGCUAGGUUGCCUGGGCUCAUAAGAUCCUCCUGCAUCAGCCUCCCUAGUAGUUGGGACUAUAGGUGUGUACCACCAUUCCUGGCUUGGCUUAUACUGGAUUUUUACCUGUUCCUGAUUUUGUGACAUCAUGGAAAAUGGUGAAGAGUAAAUCAGAUUUGAUAAAAUAAUGGUUUACUUAGUUAUAUCAGUUUUCCAAAUGUUAGCAUAUGUCAUGCUAUAAUAUUUUUUAAAAACCACUUUCAUUAGUAUCACCACUAAUCACAGAACAAUAUUGGGGAACUGUUAUGGUCACACUAGCCAAUACAUAGCCAAUACAAGUUUUUUUGUAUUAGUUGAUGUUUUCCAGAACCAAUACAAUGUGUGUGUGUGUGUGUGUGUGUGUGUGUGUGAAUAAAUAAAAAAGAUUUAUUAAUCCCCAAAUCAGAAAUUUGAAAUGCUUCAAAAUCCAGUAAAGCCUAUGCAAAUAUUUCAAAAUACAAAAAAAAAAAAAAGAAGAAGAAGAAGAAAAAAGAAAAGAAAAAAAAAAGGGACAUUCUUCUGGUCCUAAGGGGUUGACCAUAGACUGCAGUGGGUUGAGGGUUGUCCCUGGUCCAGUGGUCUUGAAUCCCUGGGGAUCCCAAGGCAUUUUCAGGAAGUCCACCAGUACAACUUUUUUCAUAAGAAGUGUUCACCAGUGAGACAUUUCCAGCCUUUGCACAUCACUCACGUGUGUAUGUGGCUCUCCAAGGGUGAUGGAUGUCCAGUAGCAUUACAGCACCGCCCGUCUCAGUCUCAGUGCAGAGCAGACUUGGUGAUCCGCGUCUUCUACUAAGCCCAAUGUUGUGGAGAUUUGCAAAACUGUAAAAUGGUGCGGCUCUGCUCACUGCUCUAUUUGCUUUGGAAAAUAUAGUUGCUUUUUAUAAACUAUAUAUUUUUAUGUUUACAUAAAAUUGUUUUAGGAUGAAUUAAUAAGUACUUAAGGAUUUUUCAGUUUUUACUUCUAACAUGGUAAAUAUCGAUAAAUAUAACCCACAUAAACAAAAAUUCCUUGGGGGUUCUCAAUUUUUAAGACUGUUUAAAGCCCUGAGAUCAAACAAUUUGAGAACCACUUGUCCUGAUCUUGUUGGUUCUGGGCUGAUACGGAGAUUGAGCUCUAUUGAAGGGUAUACCAAAAGGAGCUUUGAGUCUUUUUGUCUGAAGAAAAGUAUUGGGAAUUGCAAACCUUACUUUUAAUAAUUACCAAAUACAGCCAGGUGUGGUGGAGCAUGCCUGUAAUCUCAGCGACUUGGGAGAUUGAGACAGGAGGAUCACAAGUUUGAGGCCAGCCUCAGCAAUUUAGUGAGACCUCAUCUUGCCCUGGGUUCGGUCUCCAGUACCAUCUGGGAGGGAGGAAAUUACUGAACAUAAAUACUUAUCAAGAAUUGUCCUACGUCUAGAAGUGACAGAAAAGAGAUAUGAGGCUUCAUUCCUGUCUCCAGCAAUCUAAGUGGGUUGUCUUUACAUACUUGAAACAACUUAAAAAUAGUAUAAGACCAUAUUUGAUAAGUUGCGUGGUAUAGACUCUAUAUAACAGCCUUUGGAGUGCAGAGGAGAGAGGCCAGGGUGUUUUAAGAGAGCAACCCAGGGAAGAAGGUGGUUUUAUGGUUGGCCUAGAUUGGAUUUGGUUAGUUGGAAUGGAAGAGAUCAAAAGCUCUUCUAGGCCCAGUAGCAGGAGUGCCUCUGAGGUUCAAAUAGAGUUUCUGGUGUCUUUAUGGUCUCAUGUCUGGGCCCUGGCUGGGCCAGCAAGGAAAGGCAUUCCAGACACUUCCUGCCUGUCUUGUCAAAGGUUUGAAAAUAGAGAUCUGCUGCAGAAAUGUUUUGGACGGUCACAGCUGCUAUUAAUAGUGUGACCAGAUCAUUUAAUGUGUGGUAGUUAUGGACAUGUUGGAGAGUGGAGGUGGAUGCCAUUAAAAAUUACCAGUAUGUGGUACCGUCCUGGCUAUGUUGUGACAUUUGUCACUCAAGCUAUUAUCCUUAAGCACUGCUGUUAGUUUCCUUCCUAUUGGUUUCUUAGGAUAUUCAAGACUAAUUUUUUUCACACUGUGGAUUGCAAACAUUUACUAGAUUAAGAAAUCAAUUUAGUAGGUGAUACCCAGCCUUAAAAAAAAAUAAAACCAACAUUUCACAUGUAGUAAAGAGAAAUAUUAUUUUGUUUAAAAUAUGUAUGUAAAUAUACUAAUUCAUGCAAUGUACCCAGGGCAAAACAGUAAUAGCUGAUGAACAAUAAGUUAUUUGGAGCUGGGUGCAGUAGUGUACACGUGUAAUCCCAGUGACUCAGGAGGCUGAGGAAGGAGGAUCACAAGUUUGAAGCCAGUCUGAGCAAUUUAGCAAGAUCCUGAAUCAAAAUAAAAAUAGAAAGGGCUAGAGAUGUACCUCAGUGGUAGAGCACCCAUGAACUCAAUUCCCAGUACUAAGGAAAAAAUAAAGCAAACCCCCCAAAGUGACUCCAUUAAUAGAAGUUACAUAUUUGCAUGCAUGAUUAAAACAAAUAAUAUAUACUAUAUAUCUAAUAGAAAUAAUAUAAGCAAUGUAAAAAUAACAUAUUUGUAUUUGGACAGGAUAUUCACCUCAUGGUCUAAAUUAGUUGUGCAGGCUUCAGCCAUCAUGCCUAUAAUCCAGUGAGAAGGGAUCAUGCUCUCCUAGAAGUUACAUCCUGCAUAUCUGCUUCCAUAUUAUUGUCUACCACUUGCACCUAUGACCACACCAUGUUGUAAGAGAGACUGGGAGAUAGUUCUAUUCCACAACAAAGGCUGGUUUUAAAAAAGCCUGGUUACAAGAAAAGUAGGUGAAAUUCUAAUAGGUAUGGAAAAUGAAAAAUCCCCAAAAUAAUGUGGUCUGAGAAAAAGGGAGUAAAAUAGAAAGCCAUGCACUGACAGCUUUCAUCUCCCAAGACAGAUGCUUUCCUGUGCUAAUUGUAGGCAGGAAGGAGGUGUCUCAUAGUAAAGUGAUGGCCUCUGAGGGCACUGACCUUCCUUGGAGUAAAUCCUCCCAGAUUCGGAGCACAGACUCUGACCCAAGAGCUCAAAUUCCUAAGCACUCAAACUGACCCCUUCACUGAUAGAUGAACAAACCCCAGACCCUGGGUGCCCACCAGACCACCCCUCAGGAUAACCUGAGCUGAUUGUGAGGUUUGCGUUCGUUACAGUCUCACGAAUUCUAUCCCUGAACAAGGGGGGAUUACACCCUGGGAGGACAACCGGGAGUCUGAGUCUGAGUCCCAUUCCAGGCGCUGCCCUUCACGGGGGUGGGGGGGCGGGAGGGCUGGAAAUGAACAGGAACCAGGGCGCUCUGGAGGGUCAGAACACAGGAGCCAAUCAAAUAUGGUCUUAUCCUAUUGAUAAGUUGGUUCUAAUGAUCAGUUACAUAUCUCACUUCUCCCCAAGAGAGGCCCUUGUUUAGGCCAGUAGGCCUCUUCAGACUUCUCUGUCAAUCUUUUCCCAAGGAACUCAGCUCACUUUGAUCUUUGACCUCUGCUAUAUCACACAUUAGCAUUUUAGUAUACACUUAAUGAAUUUACUCAUUAUAGAUGCACAAUAAGCUUUAUUGGUUGGAUAGCCAAAAUAUCCAAUUUUAUAAUUGUUUUCAAGUGAUUAAGUAUUUUCACCCCAUUUUCUAAUUGAUUAAAUAAGUGAAUAAAUAAAUACUGAUGGGUUUGGAAUCUCUAUUCCUUAUCAUUACCAUUUUUUUGUUUAGGUAUUUUUGGAGUUAAUGGAGCCAGAAGGACACUUAGAGCCAGAGAGUUCAGAAAAAUCUGUCUUCUCACAGCCAGAAGAAGAUGAAGAAUCCCAACAAUCAAAGGCAGCGAGCCUUGAGAACCCUCUCCUGCGGCCUCUUCUCACAGGGGACAUAGAAGGCUUGCGUAGGAUUUUCGAGGACCCUGAAGAUCCUCAUCAUGACCAUGCCAUGGAGCUACUCUUGGAAGAAGACAUCGUUGGGAGAAAUCUGUUGUACGCAGCUUGCAUGGCUGGGCAAAAUGACGUCAUUAGAGCCUUGGCAAAGUAUGGUGUGA
This 5256-nucleotide long non-coding RNA is filed under the name Marmota monax (woodchuck). Lineage: Eukaryota; Metazoa; Chordata; Mammalia; Rodentia; Sciuridae. The record is from RNAcentral.